Molecule: long non-coding RNA, 589 nt
Organism: Homo sapiens (human)
Lineage: Eukaryota; Metazoa; Chordata; Mammalia; Primates; Hominidae
Source: Ensembl
GAUGACAAUGUUUAUUCAUUAAUAAAACCUUUAGAAUUGGAACUACAAAAAACAGUGCAUACAUACCGUGGAAAAAUUUACUAAAUAUUUAUCAAACAAUUAGCAAAAACAUAAGAGAUCGCUAUGUCAGAUCACCAAAGGAAAGGUGAUUCUUGUUGCUUGCUACAUCAAAUGGAUUAAAAGAACAAAGCAUCGGAGGAUAAAUAUGAAGGAACUGUCUUGGGUGAAGCGUUAAGGCAGGAAUUAUUCAUCUACAGAAUAUUUUUUUUCCUAAAGAGGUUAAAUGAGCAGUAUUUUCAGGUAAUGAAGAAUAAGUUAAAAUCUUGGGCUUCAACAAAGAAAAAUUUUUGGCCUCUGAUGUUGUGUAAUGUUACUUACUAUCAUUCCAGUAUUGAUGAAAAUAUUAUUGAAUGGUUUUAGCCUGCAAACUUCUGUUGACUCAUACUCUCAAGAGUGGUGGGGCUGUGAAAAUGAAGAAAAUGUACCUCAAACACAGUGCAAACACUCAGGCAAGUCAGCUCUCUUCAGGAUGCGCAUUUAUUUCUCCCUUUGGAGGAGGCCUCAGUCCACCUCAGCCAAGGACUGAAAG